AGUAUCAUCCCUUGAAUAAAAUCUUCCUUACUGUCUUUAAUGGGUGUCACAAAUUUUUUUUUCUUUAACAGUCAGGAGGGUGCUAAUGGAGUACCAUGACAAAAGGCCUAACUUCCUAUAAUGGACAUUUUCUGGGUUUACCUGACAAAUACUCUUUUUCUCUUCUAAGGAAAAUUUCCAGUUCUCAGUGUAACUGCCAACUGGCCCAGGGGUGGACAAGUGAGUCAGAUGAGACCAAAAUGAAAAUUCUGUUGAGACACUGGACCUUGAGGAUUCAAGCCAAGGACGAAAAAGUGUUGGUACUCCAUUAUUCUGAUGGUCCAUUAACUCUUGCUUUUUUGUUCCUAUGUCUAUCACAGCCCCUGCCUUUUUGAAGAUAAUGACCACUCAUCUGAGUACACAGUUCGCAGAAUCCCUUUGCAGUGGCCCAUGCGGGCCAAGGUAGUAGAGCAUAAUAGAUCUCUAGAAGGCCACUAGAAACAGCAGGUGAUGGCCCCAGCUCCUGUCCCUCCAUGCAGAACAUCUGUCAACACCUAUGGACAUCUUUUCCUCCCCCAUUCCUAUGAAUGUUGCUCAGUUGUUACAUGGCAUGGACAAAUGCUGUUGGCUCGUGGCAUGGACACACUGGACAAGCUUGGCCUUCGGUAAAACAAAGACUGGAUUCAAUUACUCAAACUGAAACAGGAAUGCUUGGAUGAACAAGCCUGCCAGGAAGUCCA
Mustela erminea (ermine) is the source of this 719-nucleotide long non-coding RNA. RefSeq lists it as uncharacterized. The record is from RefSeq and is a predicted model, not a curated record. Lineage: Eukaryota; Metazoa; Chordata; Mammalia; Carnivora; Mustelidae. The transcript is spliced from 3 exons.